GACUGGGAGUAAACCACCGCGGACGGCUCAUUAAAUCAGUUGUGGUCUAAAAUGGUCAUUUGUCCUUAAUUGGAUAACUGUGGCAAUUCCAGAGCUAAUACAUGCAAUCUAUAAGUCCGACGCUAUGUGUCUGGAAGACUUUUGUCUUUCGAGAGGCACCUCUAGCAUACGGAGUGGGGUUUAUUGGCCGGGGAAACGAAUAGGGUGAGAGAGCAAUCUUUUACCUUGUGACUCGCUGUUAUGGUGACUCUGGAUAACAAGUCAAGACAAGCGCACGAUAGUACCAUACGGGAACUGGCGCAACCAUUUUUCAAGUGUCUGACUUAUCAGCUAUUUAUCGUUUGUUAUGUGCUCACGAUGGCUAUGGGGGGGAACGGGGCGGCGGGGGGCGAUUCCGGAGAGGCAGCCUGAGAAACGGCUACCACGUCCAAGGACGGCAGCAGGCACGCAAAUUACCCAAUCCCAGCACCUGGGGGAGGUAGUGACAGUAUCUAACGAUGUGAACGUUUCGUAAGAAGCUUCACAAUCGGAAUGAGCAUUGUCACUUUUCUGGCUUUUUUCUAAAAUCUCUGUUGAGAACCAACUGAAGGGCAAGUCUGGUGCCAGCAGCCGCGGUAAUUCCAGCUUCAGUGGCAUGUAUCAAUGUUGUUGCGGUUAAAAGGCUCGCAGUUGAAUGUCUGGUCAAAGAGCCCAAGUGGUGGAUGUUGUGGAUUACUUGUUAGUGACGGUAUAUUCGUGAUGAAGCGCACGGGGACGACGCGUUUGCGGCGGCGCACACUUUAGUGUGUUGUCGUUUGUGAGUGUGUAUCGUUUCCUGGUGGGCCCCUCUUUCUCGAAUGUGUUCUAUAAAACACUGUCCUUUGUAGUCUUCCAUCCGUCUAUACCACUGGAUUCUUGGUUAAUGGAAAGGUCACAAACGAACACACUAUGUUAUCUCUCUUUAUUGAGAUUGAGCGAGUGUGGGAUAGUGGUCAUAUAAUUUGACACCCUGAGUAAAUCGGAGUGCUCAAAGAGGUCGAGUGCGCACAUAGAGAGUAUUUAUUUACUCUGGACUGUGCGUACACACAAGCUAUAUCUUGAUUUGUACUUAAUUGUGCAUUGAUAGAGACUGUCCUGAUUUUGCAUGGUAUGUCGAAAGACGCUAUCAUACGUUGGUUACGAGUUAAUUUGAGACGGUCAGCUUAAAUGAGUGCUAAUGUGUGCUUACAAUAAUCAGAUAAGAGUGUUCUUUCCAUCUGUGUAAGCUUCAGCUUUUUUUAAUUAAAGAGUGUGGAGCCUCUAUGCUUUUAUAUGACGAGACACACACACUGUUUGAGUUUGCUAUACAGGCGCAUGCUGGCCAUAACUCCAAUGUUGAUGGAAUGAUAAAGAGAGAUGGUCGAGGGCAAAAGUAUUGCGAGGCGAGCGGUGAAAUGCUAUGACCCCCGCAAGAAUACCUGAAGCGAAUGCGUCUGCCAAGGAUGUUUUCAUUAAUCAUGAACGAAAGUUAGAGGAUCGAAGGCGAUCAGAUACCGCCCUAGUUCUAACUGUAAACGAUACCGACCAUCAAUCCGUCCGUAGCUCCUUUACUGUGGGCUCGGCGGGCAGCUCCCCCAUCACGGGAAACCAGAGUCUCUGGGUUCCGGGGGGAGUCUGGUUGCAAAACUGAAACUUAAAGGAAUUGACGGAAAGGCACCACCAGGCGUGGAGCUUGCGGCUUAAUUUGACUCAACACGGGAAAUCUUACCAGGCCAGCACUCUUGAAUGAUUGACAGAUGGAGAGUUUUUUCUCGAUUCAGUGGAUGGUGGUGCAUGGCCGUUCUUAGUUGGUGGAGUGAUCUGUCUGGUUAAUUCCGAUAACGAACGAGACUCUCUCCUGCUAAAUAUGUCGGCUGGAUCUUGUGUCCCCAUGAGUUGUGAGCGAGAUGGAUUAGUGUGUCUUACACGCUUUGAAUUCUUUAACACACUCCAAGUCCGCCGCAUGUGUGUAGCUUGGUAUUUGCAUACAAACCUCUGGGUGUGUGGUUUGUGUUGGAUAACUCUGACACACCGCCAUUAAUGUUUUUGCUUGUGCCUUGUCUAUAUGCAAUGACUAAGUCUUCUUAGAGGUAUAAACGGCCCUUAAGCCGUAUGAAACGGUGAGCAAUAACAGGUCUGUUAUGCCCUUUGAUGUUCUGGGCCGCACGCGUGCUACAAUGCUUGGUACAGCAGGUGUUAUCCUUCUCCGAAAGGAGUUGGUAAUCCUCUGAAAGCCACUUGAAUAUUGUCUCUCUUUUUAUUAAGAGUGUUUUUCAAAGAGAGAGAGGGAGCAAUCUCUUUAUCUCUGCAUUGAAAUUAAUGGCAUGCUUGGGCCUGGGGCUUGCAAUUCUUUUCCCACAAACGGGGAAUGCCUGAGUAGUUACUGGUCACAAAGUGGUUGUGACUCAGUUCCCUGCCCUUUGUACAACACCGCCCGUCGCUAUUCCGAUUGGGUGGAGAAGUGAGGACCUUGGAGUGUGCGUAUCCCAUAUACAGAUGAGUGCUUGCUGUUCAUAUAGGGUCUGUGCUUGU
This 2529-nucleotide ribosomal RNA is filed under the name Acanthonotozoma pushkini. RNAcentral describes it as "partial 18S ribosomal RNA". It matches the Rfam family "Eukaryotic small subunit ribosomal RNA". Lineage: Eukaryota; Metazoa; Arthropoda; Malacostraca; Amphipoda; Acanthonotozomatidae. The record is from RNAcentral.